RNAcentral lists this long non-coding RNA (3103 nucleotides) under Solanum tuberosum (potato). RNAcentral describes it as "long non-coding RNA (STUB_LNC005969)". Lineage: Eukaryota; Viridiplantae; Streptophyta; Magnoliopsida; Solanales; Solanaceae. The record is from RNAcentral.
UACAUAAAAUAAGACUUUUCGUCAUUAUCUAAGGAUAGAUUUAAACGAUUCGAUAUAGAAAUAUUUAACUAAUAAUACAAUACAAUACAACGGAUAGCAACGAUCAAAUUUAAAGACACUGAAAAUAGCCAAUUCUGUGUGACUUGCCUCCACAUAACCAAAUUCCUUUUCAGUCCUCGAAAUACUUCUCCGGCCGUCCCAUAUCGCGCGAUAAAAAAAUCUGUAGCUAAACAGUAAAAUUUCGUCACCAAUUUCGUGAUAAAUUAGCUACCAAAAUUUCUAUUUAUUUAUACACAAUAUUUGUAACUAAUUUUUAAUUUCAUUUUACCUUUUUUGGUUAGUGUAUUAUUCUAUUAUUAUAAGUGGGCUAGCUUUUGGGUAUAUAUAAGAACGGUAGAAUUUGAAAGAAAAAAAUAGUAGUUUUUUUAUUUUGAAAUAGUGUUUGAACAUAAAUAUUAAUUUGCGCUAUUUUUGAACUUUGUAAGUGAUUUAGAAUUGAAAUUGAGAAAAUAUUUUCUUUUUGCAGUUUUACUAAUUUCUAAAAAUUUCAGAAUCCAACUUCAAGUAGAAUUCUAAAAUAUAAUAAUGUCCAAACAAUUUUUUGAAAUAAUAUUUCGAGACGAGAGGGAGUUGCUCGAAUGGUAAGCACCCCUUGCUUCCAACCCGAAGGUUGCGAGUUCGAGUCACCAAGGGAGCAAAAGGGGUGGGGGAGCUCCUAGGGAGGGUAAAAAAAAAAAAAAUUCCGAAAAAAAGUGAAAACUCUCAAUAGUGUCAAAGCUCCAUUUAUAUAGGGUGGGGGUGGCUUUGGAGUAAAUCUUACUAAAAAUAUUUGAUCAUGAAAAAUUGAAAUCUAUAGAGAAUUAUUCAAAGUGUGAAGUGUAUAUAUUUCACGUAAUAUAAAUGUAUUCUCAAAAUUCAAUAGGUUCUUGUACUGGAGCACAUAAACUAACUAAGACUCGGAGAAUAUUUUCUCUAUCUUCCAUCCAUCACAAGAAGAGAAUAUAUAGUCAAGAAAAAUUAUUAGCAUGAAAUAUUAAGAUUUAAGAAUAUUUGUUGUUGUGAUAAUCAAAGCAAUUAACGGCUUAAUAAAAUAAGGUAUAAUUAAGGAAAAUAAAGAAUCUAUUUCAAUGUCAACAUUAAUAACUAUUACGAAGACGUUAUUUUUCAGACUCUUGAAAUAUUCAAUGGUGAUUAAUAUUUAUUUAUCAUAGCUAGUAAAAGAUAAAUAAUAUGUUGUAAUAUUUAUUAAUCAUUAUUAGUAAAGAUUAAAGAAUAAAUAUAAAAUGGAAAAAGGUCAAAAAUGUCUUUAAACUACGUAAAAUAAAUAAAAAUGUCCUCUGUAUGGUUUGGUCCAAAAGUAUCCUUGCCAUCAAUAGUUUGAUCCAAAAUGUCCUUAUCGUUAUUUAAAGAGUAAAAAAUGCUCAUUUUCCAAAUAAAUAUAUCAUUUAUUUUCUUUCUAACACAUUCUUUUUCUAAUAAUAUUUUUUAAAAUUAGCAAAUGUUUAUCCUACUUCAAUUCAGAAUAAAAUAAAAAAUAAAAAUAUUUCUUAUUUUAUUGUAAUUAUUUUUUAUCGUUAUAUAAUUAAAAAUUAAUGAUGAGUAUACUAUGAUAUUAUAUAUAUGACAAAGAGUACAGGAAGUUAUUUUAUUUUAAUUGAUAAAGUGAGAUUUAGAAGAAAAAAAUUAUUUCCUACAUUUUCAUUUGUAGAAGUAAUUUUAAAAGAAAGAAAACAAGAAUAGGGUUCUUUAAUAACAUUUUAAUUAGGAAGAAGAUAUGUUUUUUAAAAAAAAAUAUAUAUAUAUAUUCGAAAAAGAGCAUUUUGACCCAUUUAGUAACUAUAGAGGCAUUUUUGGACCAAAAUAAUAACUGCAAGAGCAUUUUUUAACCGAAUAUUGACAGCAUGCCGUUUUUUAGCCAAACUAUAAAUGGAGGACAUUUUUUUUCAUUUCACACCGAUUAAAGAUAUUUUUGACAUUUUUCCCUUUUAUAUUAGUUUUUUUAUCCUUUAUUAGCCAUGGUUAACAAAUAUCAUAACAUAUUAUUUAUCCUUUACUAGCUAUGAUUAAUAAAUAUCAAUCAUCUUUGAAUAUUUCUAAAGUCUGAAUAAAUGUCUUUAUAAUAGAUAUUUAAUAUUGUUGUUGAAUAUUUUUAAUGACUAGUCAUGUUGGCACGGAAACAAAUUUUGUAUUGUCCUUUAUAUCCUAUUUUACUGCUUUGACUAUCACAACAACAAAUAUUCUUUAGUCUUAAUAUUUCAUGAUGAUAAUUUGAGUUCUUUGACCUAUAAUAUUCACCUUCCUUCUGCUGGAUUUCAAUUAAAAUAAUUUGUGCGCCGAAUUUACAGUAGAAGGAAUUGUUGAAUUCUGAAAAUAAUCUAUAUCAGAUAAAAUAUUCUUAAGGACGAUUAUCUUUAUAUAUUUUAUGUUGUAAAAAAAAUUUCUAUAAAUUUCGUGAUCAAUAUUUUUCGUAAGAUUUACCUCCCACCAGCCACCCCAUCGGCCACCCUACCCAUACCACCCAAGGCUUUUCACUAAAGAUUCAAUAUUUAUUUUAUAAACAUACAAAAAAAAAACUAGAAAAUAACUUUUUAGACUUGGAUAAAUUCCCUUCCACCCCUAAUACUCACAUAAACUUAAUUCAUAAGUCUAUUAACAAGAAGACAAUCAUGUCAAAUAGCUAUUUAAAAUGGAAAAGUGUUAUAGCAAAACCAUGAAAUUCACCAAUGAGAUUAUUCUUUUAUUUCUUUAAUCAUAUAUUUUGAGUUAAAACUUUAAUUAUAUAAAAAAAAUCUUAAAAAAUGCUUCUUUCUUAACUUAGUCUUAUAUAAUAAUGAGAAUUCAAAUUAUUCAGUAUUUCAAUAUAAAUAUCUGACAUCAAAUAAGAAGAUCAAGACAAAAUGAAAUUCCAAUAUUUGAUAAAUACCUUCAAGUUCAUUAUCAUCGAUGUCAUGUGUUCUUCACAAAGUGGUACUCCCUACAACAUCAAAAUUAAUAUCAAUACCAAGAAACAAAACAUAUCAUUAAAACACAUGGAUUUUAUUCAAGAAUAAUAAAUUAAUAGGAGAUACCAUUUGCCUAUUAAUUGCUUAGCUCUCAAUUAAAG